RNAcentral lists this ribosomal RNA (465 nucleotides) under uncultured bacterium. RNAcentral describes it as "partial 16S ribosomal RNA". It matches the Rfam family "Bacterial small subunit ribosomal RNA", at positions 28 to 507 of the family's 1533-position model. The record is from RNAcentral.
GAUGAACGCUGGCGGCGUGCUUAACACAUGCAAGUCGAACGGAAAGGCCCAAGCUUGCUUGGGUACUCGAGUGGCGAACGGGUGAGUAACACGUGGGUGAUCUGCCCUGCACUUCGGGAUAAGCCUGGGAAACUGGGACUAAUACCGGCUAGGACCACAAGUAGGAGGGGGUGGUGGAAAGUUUUGUCGUGUGGGCUGAGCUCGGGGGCUAUCGGCUUGUUGGGGGGGUAAUGGCCAACCAAGGGGGAGACGGGAAAGCGGCCGUGGGGGGUGUACGGCGCCAAUGGGCCUGAGGGACGGAGCAGACGCCUACGGGGGGCAGCAGGGGGGAAUAUUGCACGAUGGGCGCAAGCCUGAUGCAGAGGCGCCCGGUGGGGGAUGACGGCCUUCGGGUUGGAAACUCCUUUCGGUAGGGACCAAGCGCAAGUGACGGUACCUGGAGAAGAAGCACCGGCUAACUACGUG